UGCCAGCCGCCGCGGUAAUACGGAGGGAGCUAGCGUUGUUCGGAAUUACUGGGCGUAAAGCGUGCGUAGGCGGAUCGACAAGUUGGGGGUGAAAUCCCGGAGCUUAACUCCGGAACUGCCUUUAAAACUGGUAAGCUAGAGGAUGUGAGAGGUGAGUGGAAUUCCGAGUGUAGAGGUGAAAUUCGUAGAUAUUGGGAAGAACACCAGUGGCGAAGGCGGCUAACUGGCUCGGUACUGACGCUGAGAUGCGAAAGCGUGGGGAGCAAACAGGAUUAGAUA
Molecule: ribosomal RNA, 279 nt
Filed under: uncultured bacterium
Lineage: Bacteria
Description: partial 16S ribosomal RNA
Rfam family: Bacterial small subunit ribosomal RNA
Source: RNAcentral